RNAcentral lists this ribosomal RNA (253 nucleotides) under uncultured bacterium. RNAcentral's name for it is "partial 16S ribosomal RNA". It matches the Rfam family "Bacterial small subunit ribosomal RNA", at positions 29 to 310 of the family's 1533-position model. The record is from RNAcentral.
AGCGAACGCUGGCGGCAGGCCUAACACAUGCAAGUCGAGCGCCCAGCAAUGGGAGCGGCAGACGGGAUAGUAACACGUGGGAACGUACCUUUCAGUUCGGAACAACCCAGGGAAACUUGGGCUAAUACCGAAUACGUCCGUAAGGAGAAAGAUUUAUCGCUGAAAGAUCGGCCCGCCGUCUGAUUAGCUAGUUGGUGAGGUAAUGGCUCACCAAGGCGACGAUCAGUAGCUGGUCNGAGAGGAUGAUCAGCAU